GCCCAGAUAGCUCAGUCGGUAGAGCAGGGGAUUGAAAUCCCCGUGUCGGCGGUUCGAUUCCGUCUCUGGGCACCA
Molecule: transfer RNA, 75 nt
Filed under: Pseudomonas koreensis
Lineage: Bacteria; Pseudomonadati; Pseudomonadota; Gammaproteobacteria; Pseudomonadales; Pseudomonadaceae
Also listed under: 2 other names
Description: tRNA-OTHER
Rfam family: tRNA
About the family: Transfer RNA (tRNA) molecules are approximately 80 nucleotides in length. Their secondary structure includes four short double-helical elements and three loops (D, anti-codon, and T loops). Further hydrogen bonds mediate the characteristic L-shaped molecular structure. tRNAs have two regions of fundamental functional importance: the anti-codon, which is responsible for specific mRNA codon recognition, and the 3' end, to which the tRNAs corresponding amino acid is attached (by aminoacyl-tRNA synthetases). tRNAs cope with the degeneracy of the genetic code in two manners: having more than one tRNA (with a specific anti-codon) for a particular amino acid; and 'wobble' base-pairing, i.e. permitting non-standard base-pairing at the 3rd anti-codon position.
Source: RNAcentral